This 892-nucleotide ribosomal RNA is filed under the name uncultured marine group I thaumarchaeote. RNAcentral describes it as "bacterial SSU rRNA". It matches the Rfam family "Archaeal small subunit ribosomal RNA", at positions 20 to 918 of the family's 1478-position model. Lineage: Archaea; Thermoproteati; Nitrososphaerota. The record is from RNAcentral.
GACCUGACUGCUAUCGGAUUGAUACUAAGCCAUGCGAGUCUUUGCAGUAAUGCAAGGCAUACGGCUCAGUAACACGUAGUCAACUUACCCUAUGGACGAGGAUAAUCUCGGGAAACUGAGCAUAAUACUCGAUAGAUCAUAAUGCCUGGAAUGGUUUAUGGUUGAAACGAUUCGUCGCCAUAGGAUAGGACCGCGGCCUAUCAGCUUGUUGGUGAGGUAAUGGCCCACCAAGGCGAUUACAGGUACGGGCUCUGAGAGGAGAAGCCCGGAGAUGGGUACUGAGACAAGGACCCAGGCCCUAUGGGGCGCAGCAGGCGAGAAAACUUUGCAAUGUGCGAAAGCACGACAAGGUUAAUCCGAGUGAUUUCUGCUAAAGAAAUCUUUUGCAAGUCAUAAAACCACUAGUGAAUAAGGGGUGGGCAAGUUCUGGUGUCAGCCGCCGCGGUAAAACCAGCACCUCAAGUGGUCAGGAGGAUUAUUGGGCCUAAAGCAUCCGUAGCCGGCUCUGUAAGUUUUCGGUUAAAUCCAUGUGCUCAACGCAUGGGCUGUCGAAAAUACUGCAUAGCUAGGGAGUGGGAGAGGUAGACGGUACUCGGUAGGAAGGGGUAAAAUCCUUUGAUCUAUCGAUGACCACCUGUGGCGAAGGCGGUCUACCAGAACACGUUCGACGGUGAGGGAUGAAAGCUGGGGGAGCAAACCGGAUUAGAUACCCGGGUAGUCCCAGCUGUAAACGAUGCAGACUCGAUGAUGCAUUGGCAUAUAGCCAGUGCAGUGUCGCAGGGAAGCCGUUAAGUCUGCCGCCUGGGAAGUACGUACGCAAGUAUGAAACUUAAAGGAAUUGGCGGGGGAGCACCACAAGGGGUGAAGCCUGCGGUUCAAUUGGAUUCAACGC